CAAGGUGGUGGGCGCGGAGUAGGUGUUGUUUUGCCCGCGCUGUACACGAGCUACAAAAGGGAGACUCUGGUGCGCCGGUACCGCGAGCGGAAGGAGGGUGGGCGCGGGCGUCAGGUGGUAGGCGGCGCGGGGGAGUUAGGGGGCGGCGAGCGCACGCGGUGGUUGUGGCCGAAGAGAAAGGAGAAGGGUGGCAGGAGGGCGACCGGGAGGGACGUCUCCCGGUCGAGGCGCCGUCGGCCGCUACCGCGGCCGAGCAGUCUUCGCGGCCCGCUGUCAAGCGAGCUGCGUCUGGAGGAGUCCUCUCAGAGGCCCCGUCUCCUGCGCCUGGCUCGCGACCUGUAACAACGCCUCAGCGACCCUCCGCCCCGGCCGAGGCCGAGCUUUCGCAGAGAGCUGAGCAGGCUGACGUUGCGCUAUCAUCGCCGUCGCGAACUGGCCCCGUUGCAGCUAGAGCGCGAGAGGCAGAAGCUGCGCUACGCGAGGCCGGACCGCGCUCAUCCCGCGACCUCGACCCGUUCCGGCCUGCGCGCCUGGAUGCGCAACGAUCAGGUCGCUAACCGCCGCCGAGACGCGCAAAGACUACGAUAGUCCUAUCAGCUGAUACACAGGGCACGCCCACAUAGAAGACGUCUCCUCCAGGGCAAACCGUAUUGACAAGCGACAGGUUGGACGUACCACCGUUAACGACAGCGCGUCGGAGUCGUACCUUGAGUCCACCAAAGAACAAGCUUCACGGCCAUGGUUAUACUUGAUAAAAGACCUCUGCAAUGUUCGUAGCUCAGUCUUCUUCACUCGUACCUAUAAAGUCGAAAACUCUUCCGGAACGUUAAAUAUUUACACUACUUUCUACUAGAAGGUCGACGGCAAGUGAGAUAGCACUAGGCCUGUGGGAGUCCUUGUCGGGCGUGUGUAUCUAAACGAUGGUUCUGGCACCUUGACGGACGAGUUCCUCCUCUUUCUCACUGGUAAAGGAACCGACGGGGUCGGUUACGAAUAGCAGUCUACCCGGGGGAGUUCUAACGCCGUGCGAGUUUUCCCAAAUCAGGUCCUCUUGGGUACACGGAGUGAUUGGUACAGUCACCUCUCUAGAGUUUCAACGAUUCUCACGGUAGUUUCUUACGUCCUGGUAACAAAGAAUCAGGAAUAGAUCAACAACCACGACAACGAAACGAACGAAGACCUCUACGACAAAGACGUAAGUAACUAGGUUCAGAGGGAUCUGAUUAAUGUCGUUGACGGUAACGUAGCCGACGACAUCCUUGUUGUGAUUUAGUUCACUAGGACGGUCUCUGUGCUUUCGAAGGCGUUUUCCGCCAUCUGUAUCAACGACAUGUCGUCUUUGAGAAUAGAGUUAUACUGUACGAAGUUUCAGCAGAAUUCCUAGACUUUGCCGAACAACUUUUUCUCCAAACAGACAAAUUAGAGACAUUGGUCAUUUAGAAGACGAUUUGCAUUUCAAAACUUUUCGUAUCACAGGUCUUAAUAAGGUAGCUUCCACACCUACGAACGUUCUUACACAGUCAACCUCUUGUUCUAUAAUCGUCAUCCGCUUGGUAGUAUAGCACGAGCUGCACCAUCUCACUUCUCCCAUGCUUUUUCGAACCUUUGAUGCGACAACCGUUUCUAACUCGACUACCUUUCAAUGCGUUUUAAUACAAGAUACUAACUUUAACUUCAACUUUACCUGAGACUGCAAUAGCAACGACUUCGUCGUUGGCCACGUCUUUCUUAUAGUCUUGUUUAACUUGUCAACUACCUCUAACUGUCAGAACUUCUCGUUACCGCAUAUGUUCGACUCCGAUUACUACUUCGUCUUUCCGAAGAACCGAGUCUAAGAAGCCUUCGUAACAGACGACUCUCACAUACUACUUUAAAACCGACCCGUGUCACUGAACACUUCUGCUACUAACACUAUGUUUUCUGUUUGACUAACGACAAAUCUUGGUACAUAAGGGGGGUAUUGUAGCUUCACUUAUAACGUUUCUUGAGCUCUAGAGAUCGUCUGUGAACUGUCAUGUCUGGUCCUGUUUGAAUACCUAUCUUUGUUUACUUUCUACGAAUGUCUCUGUUCUUACAGUUUGGGACUUCUCGGUACUCUACAAGCCCCGUCAAUUCCUGACACCGAACCAAACGAUCAAUGAAAUCGUACAAAGAACCUCAAUCGUUUUCUUAGACUACGACCGAACAUUUACCGAGGCGCAUUGAAAAUAGUGGUAACACAACUUGCCACCCUGACAAUGACAUGUAUUCACGCAUUUAACUUAACGUUGUGUAAAAACAGUACAGGUAUCUAUUAACGUCUAGGAAGUUUAGCUACAAACGCCUCGUAGAUACAGACAUGUCCUCGAUAGUUAAAUGUGCGAAAUAGACUGUUCUUUUAUGUUCUGAGCUUACGUUCUCGUGUUCGUUAUCGUAAAGGUCACCGUCUUAUUUUUCACCGGGACUUGACUUGUUCCUUUUAGGGGAGGACCCGUACCCAAACACUACGAAACAUGUUAGUUUUCCCCCAUAAGUGUCGUUUCUGUUGAUUUAGUAGGAGACAAACGACGACCGAUAUUAACCAGAAUCAUUACACAACGGUCACUACUGGAAACAACAACGUUGGUGCUUCAGUAUCGGGUAAGGAAGGACACGUGGUUCUUUAGCUUCGCGCCGUUAGAGUCGUUUACAAUGCGGUGGUUGUUUGUGUUGGUCUUGUUGCCUCGCUGCCGGUUGGGACAGCCAUAAGACGACACGGGGCAGACCAUCGUUAAGACUACUUGGUGAUUACCAGCUCUGUGGAGAAAAGUUUAGGUCUGCUCCCGGGCCGUUAUUAAAGUUGUGAAGAAGUUAUCUAACGGUAGGUCUGGAGUAUCGUACGAGUUGUUCCGCUUAUGAUUCUCCGCGCAUAGGUCGUUUCUGCAUACUGUAUAGUAGUCCCCUUAGUCCUAGGAAAUAUAGUUGAUAUUCGACCUCUCGAGAGGAUUAUUGUCGGGUUAAUGAGGAGCUAAGGGCGGAAAAUUGUUCCGGUCGGAAAAGGUCUAACAUGUUGUUCCCGUACACGAGUUUCGGUAUUGACACGUCAUAGAGGGCGGAGUCCAUCAGCUUUAAGAAGGAGCCGUUGGGUCGUAAACAUUCCCUUUUAUUGUGGUCUUCCGCUUCGUGUCAGAGUUAUCCGAGAACGAAGACAUACUAGAGGAGUUACAUGAACAUUGUGCAUAGUAUCAGGAAGCGGAGGUCAUAGAAAACGAGUUAGAGAUGAGCCCGUACUUUGUUCCCAAAAGGUCGUUUCCUAACGUCUACCACGCGGUUUAAUUGUACGGACCAAUAGAGGCCAUCCCUCACAUUGGAAAAGUGUUUCAGGAACUCGAGUCUUUGGCUGACGCAUAAGCACCUAAAGUGAACGCGCAUUAGAACGACUUAUCUGCAACGGAAAACCACCUGCUGGGCUUCGUGUUGUACCUUCAACUCCAGAGCUUAGAGGGACAUGUUGAAUAGCGAGCUUAACUCACCUUGGAACUGGAAAAAGGGUAGAACAACCCGCGGGUACUACGGCCGUAGUUGAACGUGUCUAGGCAGCACUUAAAGGUCGUAGAGCAGAUUCUCCGGAAGUAUGCAGUCGACUCUCGUGUAACCACAGUGGUAUAGGUGGAGAGCUAGAUCGUUCUAUUGCCAGAGAUAGAGGCCUUAGGGGUACAGUAGGUACACCUGUCCCAGAACCUCUACGUAUACCAACUCGUCGACCCGUCGAAACCAACUACGGUGUGGGAACCGAGAUUGUAACCCCUACUGAGGUUUCCGUUCGAGAUCGGAUACCUAUCGAAGACGUUACACGGUGUGUCUUCAGCGGCAUAGGGGAAGUUAUUCCGCUGUAAGGACGCUCCUUAUCAGUAGUAGUGGUUCGAGUUUUCUUUACUGUAGGAGUAGGUUGCCUUGGUCUAUGUUCCCUAUAAGAGGCUAAUAACGGUUGAAGACUACUUGAAAGGGAAGGAGGUCUUAGUAGAGUGUCCGUUGAUGUGCUGCACCGUGUUUUAUCUCCACCAUAAGGGAGACCUCCGGGAACCUAAGCAGCAAGAACUAGACUAAACGGUGCUUAAAGUAGUUCGACUCGACCCUGGCUUGUUCCAUGUGGUGGAACCCCGUGAGGCAGACGUGUCCCAGCCGCCUCUCCUAGGCGUCGAGACACUGUACAAGGAAAUCGUGGCUCCACACGUCCUAGUCGCUCUCCCACGGGCGCUCGAAGCCUAGCUACUGGUCUGUGAACAAGGGGUACUACGAGAACUAAUACGACUGCUCAAGGAAGACACUGACGAGGGACUCCCGUCACUCUAACUCGCCGCGCAAUAGCUCCAAACCUUAGACACGGUAAACCGGGUGAGCUAGCCGUGGAACGCCAAACCCGCAGCGCAGUCCUUGAGUCCUACGACGACCGCCGAGCCGGCAGUUACCGCAGCCCCACCCGAAGUUAGAGGAUCGCUACUCCAGCGACGAGGACCGACCGCCGCCCCAGAGCCCGCAGCUGCCCUGCCUUAUGCCGCCCAUUCCCCGAACCUACCGGCCUAGACGGCCGCCUCCUCACCUCAUCCCGCACCGCCGCGAGUCGGAACGCAUCCCAAUGCUCUCCCUCUCCCAACCACACCCGCACGCCGAUAUAUUCUCAAACCAAUAGGCUGGGGCGUUGCAUGCGCCACUCUUCGGAUCCAAAAUCUAGGAGCGCCAAUGCCUGCACCCGCCGCUAGCUAGGCCGGAACUUCUCCAACUACCGUCUCUAGUCCCUCCUCUGGCGCUCCCGGCCCCUCCCACUCUCCGACUUCUACGACGUGCUCCUCCGCCGAGUGGGCUCCUCGUUGAGGCCGUACCUGGGCCCCCUGGGCUCCUCCUUCCGUUAGCUUCGCCUCCUCUACUCUCUGUCCUGCCGCCACCUUCGUCCGCUCCUCCUGAUGCUCCGGCUGUACCGACGGUUCAAGGCGGUAGCGACCCUCCUCGCUACCAGGCCGAUAAAGCCGAGGAAACUCCUGUGGUGUGAAUAAGGUGGCUACGCGAAGUGCCUACUUGGUGGACCCGGUGCUCUGAAGCGCACGAGGAUGUACGUAUGAGAGUUGCAGAAGAGCCAGUUUGAACGACCUGAUGUAUCCCUAAACCGUACCGGUGAGGUACACAAGUCGUAGCAGCGGCGUGCGCUGUGAGACCUAGUGUUAGCGUUAUAGUAGAACGUAGCGUGGUCCCUAUUGGCGGUUUAGUAGGUAGUCCUCCUAGGGAUGGAUCUUAACUGUCCAGGAUAGGCACCAUAGCACCACUAACUAGGACACUUUAAACUCCAACACGACUUUCACUUCCCGAGGUGACUUAGGCUCCUGUUUCUAAAUUCGAAAGACCAACACGCCAUGAAAUCAUUGCCGCCACUUUCAGCCAGUGAACACUAGUUGUUUUAGUCCUGAUUGUUCGAAUCGUGUGAUCUCAACUGUAAGCCGGUGUAACAAGCGAGACACCUCCGGCGCUAAUCACACUCUCACUAACCGCCAAGUACCGGUCUACCCAAAGCUCCACAUAAAUGUCGAUGGUGACCGUCGUAUUUAGUGUACUUCAAGAGCAACGAAAGAAGAUCUUUGACAUUCAAAGGACAGUUCAGACUACCUUACUAGAACGAUAGUGCUACACAACAAACACAACUUGAGCUACCUCUUGAGUACCAAAGGUAGUACCGUGUUGUACUUCUGCUCCUCUUUCAACAACUAGUCUCACUACUAUUGCAAAAAUGUGGAUUCUUUCGACCAUCUUCGGUAUUAUAGGAGUUCUAACCCAGCACGUUCUACCUUCAGUGACACCGGACGAGACAAAAGAGCCUAGCAUAUGAACAAGCACUGCUUACCCAACCACGAGCCGUAGACACU
RNAcentral lists this ribosomal RNA (5870 nucleotides) under Triticum aestivum (bread wheat). Its description in RNAcentral is "partial small subunit ribosomal RNA". Lineage: Eukaryota; Viridiplantae; Streptophyta; Magnoliopsida; Poales; Poaceae. The record is from RNAcentral.